UAGUAGUCAUACGCUCGUCUCAAAGAUUAAGCCAUGCAUGUGUAAGUAUAAAUAGUUAACUUUGAAACUGCGAAUGGCUCAUUAUAUCAGUUAUAGUUUAUUUGAUGAAGAAUACUAAUUGGAUAACCGUAGUAAUUCUAGAGCUAAUACAUGUAUAAAGUCUUGUAGACUGCAUUUAUUAGAAUGAAAACCAUAGGUUUCGGCCUAUUCGUGAGUAAUAAUAACUAAUCAUAUCGUAUGCUUAUGUAACGAUGUGUCUUUCAAGUUUCUGCCCUAUCAGCUUUCGAUGGUAGUGUAUUGGACUACCAUGGCAGUAACGGGUAACGAAGA
This 330-nucleotide ribosomal RNA is filed under the name Blastocystis sp. Its description in RNAcentral is "SSU rRNA". It matches the Rfam family "Eukaryotic small subunit ribosomal RNA", at positions 18 to 368 of the family's 1831-position model. Lineage: Eukaryota; Bigyra; Opalinata; Blastocystidae. The record is from RNAcentral.